UGGCGGACGGGUGAGUAAUGUCUGGGGAAACUGCCUGAUGGAGGGGGAUAACUACUGGAAACGGUAGCUAAUACCGCAUAACGUCGCAGACCAAGAGGGGACCUUCGGGCCUCUUGCCAUCGGAUGUGCCCAGAUGGGAUUAGCUAGUAGGUGGGGUAACGGCUCACCUAGGCGACGAUCCCUAGCUGGUCUGAGAGGAUGACCAGCCACACUGGAACUGAGACACGGUCCAG
RNAcentral lists this ribosomal RNA (233 nucleotides) under uncultured bacterium. RNAcentral describes it as "partial 16S ribosomal RNA". It matches the Rfam family "Bacterial small subunit ribosomal RNA", at positions 96 to 334 of the family's 1533-position model. The record is from RNAcentral.